This 95-nucleotide ribosomal RNA is filed under the name Ligilactobacillus salivarius. Lineage: Bacteria; Bacillati; Bacillota; Bacilli; Lactobacillales; Lactobacillaceae. The record is from RNAcentral.
AUACACCUGUUCCCAUUCCGAACACAGAAGUUAAGCUUCGUAACGCCGAGAGUAGUUAGAGGAACGCCUCUUGCGAGGGUAGGAAGUCGCCGUGC